Molecule: ribosomal RNA, 502 nt
Filed under: uncultured Glomeromycotina
Lineage: Eukaryota; Fungi; Glomeromycota
Description: partial small subunit ribosomal RNA
Rfam family: Eukaryotic small subunit ribosomal RNA
Source: RNAcentral
CCAAUAGCGUAUAUUAAAGUUGUUGCAGUUAAAAAGCUCGUAGUUGAACUUCGGGGUUCACCCAUUGGUCAGGCUUAACUGUCUGCACUGGUGAGAUGAAUCUCUACCUUCUGAGGAACUUUCAUGCCAUUUAUUUGGUGUGAUGGGAAAUCAGGACUGUUACUUUGAAAAAAUUAGAGUGUUUAAAGCAGGCUAACGUCUGAAUACAUUAGCAUGGAAUAAUGAAAUAGGACGGACUGGUUCUAUUUUGUUGGUUUCUAGGAUCACCGUAAUGAUUAAUAGGGAUAGUUGGUGGCAUUAGUAUUCAAUUGUCAGAGGUGAAAUUCUUGGAUUUAUUGAAGACUAACUACUGCGAAAGCAUUUGCCAAGGAUGUUUUCAUUAAUCAAGAACGAAAGUUAGGGGAUCGAAGACGAUCAGAUACCGUCGUAGUCUUAACCAUAAACUAUGCCGACUAGGGAUCGGACGAAGUUAAUUUUAUAAUGACGCGUUCGGCACCUUACG